Molecule: long non-coding RNA, 289 nt
Organism: Gymnogyps californianus (California condor)
Lineage: Eukaryota; Metazoa; Chordata; Aves; Accipitriformes; Cathartidae
Exons: 3
Source: RefSeq, a predicted model, not a curated record
UGCUGAUGGGUGGAUGUGCGCAAGCCUCUGUGGACCAAGGCAGUGGUAUCAAUCCAGGACCAGAUGAACACCUUUUUACAGCAUGGAUGGAGACUGAACCAACCCCGACACAUGGAAAUGGUCCUCUCCAACUUAACAGUCAGGCACAACACUGGAGCAGCGGUAGGGAGGAGCUGAUUUGUCCCAGGGGGUUGUGGCAGGCAGCACAGCUUGCGGAGAUAUCUCGGCAAGCAGUCUCCAGGCUCCAGCAGGACCCAAGGGCCUGGGCAGAGCGAGGUGGAGCUCGGCC